CCUACGGGUGGCAGCAGUGAGGAAUAUUGGUCAAUGGACGAGAGUCUGAACCAGCCAAGUAGCGUGAAGGAUGACUGCCCUAUGGGUUGUAAACUUCUUUUAUAAAGGAAUAAAACGAGGCACGUGUGCCGUUUUGCAUGUACUUUAUGAAUAAGGAUCGGCUAACUCCGUGCCAGCAGCCGCGGUAAUACGGAGGAUACGAGCGGUAUCCGGAUGUAUUGGGUUUAAAGGGAGCGUAGAUGGGUUGUUAAGUCAGUUGUGAAAGUUUGGGGCUCAACCGUAAAAUUGCAAUUGAUACUGGCAGUCUGGAGUACAGUUGAGGUAGGCGGAAUUCGUGGUGUAGCGGUGAAAUGCUUAGAUAUCACGAAGAACCCCGAUUGCGAAGGCAGCUUACUAAACUGUGACUGACAUUGAUGCUCGAAAGUGUGGGUAUCAAACAGGAUUAGAUACCCCUGUAGUC
Molecule: ribosomal RNA, 460 nt
Filed under: uncultured bacterium
Lineage: Bacteria
Description: partial 16S ribosomal RNA
Rfam family: Bacterial small subunit ribosomal RNA
Source: RNAcentral